Mus musculus (house mouse) is the source of this 474-nucleotide long non-coding RNA. RefSeq annotates it as predicted gene, 40487. The record is from RefSeq and is a predicted model, not a curated record. The transcript is spliced from 3 exons. Lineage: Eukaryota; Metazoa; Chordata; Mammalia; Rodentia; Muridae.
UGCCUUGAUAAUAAUGGACUGAACCUAUGAACCUGGCAUGACCGGCUCUGGGAGCUGAAGCUACAGAGGAUGAUAAGGAGGACUCUUGAAGUGGAAAAUGUGCCUCAGCCUCGGGAAGGAACUGCAUCCUGGAACUGGAGACCGGGAUGGACUCCAAAGAGGCCUUUCUGGCUCAUUCCGGUUCCCUCUGCACACCUGCCUCAGCCUGUGGUCGUUUAAAAAAAACAAAAACUACUCCUGACCAAAUUAGCUUUCUAAGCUGCCCGUGGCGGUUCAGACUCACCCUGCAUAAUGCAUGCAGUUGACCCUCCAUGGCUACAGGGCUCUGCACAGAUUGUUCGCACUCUGGAAUGUUCUUCCUCCUUUUCCACCUGACUGGCUUCUAAUCAUGCUUCAAAGAGUCAACUCAAAUGUCACAUUCUCAUGCACAGAAAGUAAUCUCUAGUCCGGGUCUCAUUUUACUGGGAAUUAAUC